This 378-nucleotide ribosomal RNA is filed under the name uncultured bacterium. Its description in RNAcentral is "bacterial SSU rRNA". It matches the Rfam family "Bacterial small subunit ribosomal RNA", at positions 521 to 896 of the family's 1533-position model. The record is from RNAcentral.
UAAGACGAACCGUGCGAACGUUAUUCGGAAUCACUGGGCUUAAAGCGCGUGUAGGCGGGUUGCCACGUCGGAUGUUGAAAUCCCCCGGCUCAACCGGGGAACAGGCACCGAUACGAGCAGCCUGGAGGGGAGUAGGGGGACCUGGAACUUCCGGUGGAGCGGUGAAAUGCGUUGAGAUCGGAAGGAACGCCCGUGGCGAAAGCGAGGUCCUGGGCUCUUACUGACGCUGAGACGCGAAAGCCAGGGGAGCAAACGGGAUUAGAUACCCCGGUAGUCCUGGCUGUAAACGAUGGGCACUGAGUAGGGGGCUCGCCGAUGGGCUCCCUGCUGUAGGGAAACCGUGAAGUGCCCCGCCUGGGGAGUAUGGUCGCAAGGCUG